GUUAAAGAAGAACAAGGAUGAGAGUAACUGCUCAUCUCCUGACGGUAUUUAACCAGAAAGCCACGGCUAACUACGUGCCAGCAGCCGCGGUAAUACGUAGGUGGCAAGCGUUGUCCGGAUUUAUUGGGCGUAAAGCGAGCGCAGGCGGUUCUUUAAGUCUGAUGUGAAAGCCCAUGGCUCAACCGGGCAGGGUCAUUGGAAACUGGAGAACUUGAGUGCAGAAGAGGAGAGUGGAAUUCCACGUGUAGCGGUGAAAUGCGUAGAUAUGUGGAGGAACACCAGUGGCGAAGGCGACUCUCUGGUCUGUAACUGACGCUGAGGCUCGUAAGCGUGGGGAGCAAACAGGAUUAGAUACCCUGGUAGUCCACGCCGUAAACGAUGAGUGCUAAGUGUUGGAGGGUUUCCGCCCUUCAGUGCUGCAGCUAACGCAUUAAGCACUCCGCCUGGGGAGUACGGCCGCAAGGCUGAAACUCAAAGGAAUUGACGGGGACCAGCACAAGCGGUGGAGCAUGUGGUUUAAUUCGAAGUAACGCGAAGAACCUUACCAGGUCUUGACAUCCUUUGACCACUCUAGAGAUAGAGCUUUCCCUUCGGGGUCAAAGUGACAGGUGUCACAUGGUUGUCGUCAGCUCGUGUCGUGAGAUGUUGGGUUAAGUCCCGCAACGAGCGCAACCCUUAUUACUAGUUGCCAGCAUUUAGUUGGGCACUCUAGUGAGACUGCCGGUGACAAACCGGAGGAAGGUGGGGAUGACGUCAAAUCAUCAUGCCCCUUAUGACCUGGGCUACACACGUGCU
Molecule: ribosomal RNA, 795 nt
Filed under: Carnobacterium maltaromaticum
Lineage: Bacteria; Bacillati; Bacillota; Bacilli; Lactobacillales; Carnobacteriaceae
Description: bacterial SSU rRNA
Rfam family: Bacterial small subunit ribosomal RNA
Source: RNAcentral